This 211-nucleotide long non-coding RNA is filed under the name Mytilus galloprovincialis (Mediterranean mussel). The record is from RNAcentral. Lineage: Eukaryota; Metazoa; Mollusca; Bivalvia; Mytilida; Mytilidae.
GCCGCUGAUAAUGAUAUGACAUAAGAAGUUCCUUCCAACCAAACCUCUAUCAAUGAACCCUGGUAAUGUGUAUCCAUUCUUGUUAUAAUCAUAAGUUUAGUUCUAACUUAGUUUUAUCCUUAAUGAUUCAAAUUUGACUGAUUUUUUUUUCUAAGUCUAGAUUAUGUAUUCUUCACAUCUUUAUUUGUCUAUUACAUCAUCUAUUUAAAUU